Molecule: ribosomal RNA, 326 nt
Filed under: uncultured bacterium
Lineage: Bacteria
Description: bacterial SSU rRNA
Rfam family: Bacterial small subunit ribosomal RNA
Source: RNAcentral
GAUGAACGCUGGCGGCGUGCUUAACACAUGCAAGUCGAACGAAGCACCUUAUUCUGAUUUCUUCGGAAUGAAAAAUUUGGUGACUGAGUGGCGGACGGGUGAGUAACGCGUGGGUAACCUGCCUCAUACAGGGGGAUAACAGUUAGAAAUGGCUGCUAAUACCCCAUAAGACCACAGCACCGCAUGGUGCAGGGGUAAAAACUCCGGUGGUAUGAGAUGGACCCGCGUCUGAUUAGGUAGUUGGUGGGGUAACGGCCUACCAAGCCGACGAUCAGUAGCCGACCUGAGAGGGUGACCGGCCACAUUGGAACUGAGACACGGUCCAA